Trichobilharzia regenti is the source of this 45-nucleotide non-coding RNA. The record is from Rfam. Lineage: Eukaryota; Metazoa; Platyhelminthes; Trematoda; Strigeidida; Schistosomatidae.
AUCCAGCUGACGAGUCCCAAAUAGGACGAAACGUGCAUCCUGGAU